This is a long non-coding RNA of Oncorhynchus gorbuscha (pink salmon), 213 nucleotides long. RefSeq lists it as uncharacterized. NCBI's taxonomy places the organism in Eukaryota, Metazoa, Chordata, Actinopteri, Salmoniformes, Salmonidae. The transcript has 3 exons. The record is from RefSeq and is a predicted model, not a curated record.
AAAAGGGCCACUGGUCGACAAAAAAACAAUACCCAAUUUGGACUGACCCUAUAACACCUACUAUAACCAACCACAGAGCCAAGAUGAGAGUCGAGGUGCCCAUAUUCCUCUUUCUGGCCGCAACAGGAUUCCAUACUGCUCUCACUGCAUCCCUGGAAUCGGCAGAAAAAAAGGAACAUUUGCAGAGGAUGCUAAGUGACCUGCAAAGGAGAG